Molecule: ribosomal RNA, 490 nt
Filed under: uncultured bacterium
Lineage: Bacteria
Description: partial 16S ribosomal RNA
Rfam family: Bacterial small subunit ribosomal RNA
Source: RNAcentral
AUCGAACGCUGGCGGCAGGCCUAACACAUGCAAGUCGAACGGUAACAGGAAGACGCUUUCUUCGUUGCUGACGAGUGGAGGACGGGUGGGGAAUGUCUGGGAAACUGCCUGAUGGAGGGGGAUAACUACUGGAAACGGUAGCUAAUACCGCAUAAUGUCGCAAGACCAAAGAGGGGGACCUGCGGGCCUCUUGCCAUCGGAUGUGCCCAGAUGUGAUUAGCUAGUAGGUGGGGUAACGGCUCACCUAGGCCACGAUCCCCAGCUGGUGUGAGAGGAUGACCAGGCACAGUGGAACUGAGACACGGUCCAGACUCCGACGGGAAGCAGCAGUGGGGAAUAUUGCACAAUGGGCGCAAGCCUGAUGCAGCUAUGCCGCGUGUAUGAAGAAGGCCUUCGGGUUGUAAAGUACUUUCAGCGGGGAGGAAGGGAGUGAAGUUAAUACCUUUGCUCAUUGACGGUACCCGCAGAAGAAGCACCGGCUAACUCCGUG